UCAGUACUAAUUUAUACUCUUAUGCCCUUGCUUUACAUCAUCCUUGUGUGCCUUUUGCUCUUUGCAUUUAUGGUGUUCGACGAAAUUCCUCACCGAGGAUCUAAGUUAGCGAUUUCCUUUUGUUUCGAUUUGCUUCUUCACUGUUUUUUUGUGCAUUUAUGGUGUUCAACAGAGAGAAUUUCCUCUUUUGUUUCACUAUUGCAUUUAUGGCGUUCGACGAAAUUCCUCUCUGACAAAUUUUCUGCAACCUUAUCUCUCUCUGCUUUCCGUAAAAAAAAUUUGGUGUCCGUACACAGGAUUACUUUCAAGCGGAUAAUCAAGAACAAGUCGACUGAGGAAUUCUCCGGCGUGCCGUACCCGAUGACCUUACUCAACUGCCUCCUCUCGGCGUGGUACGGCCUCCCGUUCGUUUCCAAGGACAACCUACUGGUGACCACCAUCAAUGGCGCCGGAGCGGCGAUCGAGAUUAUAUACGUGCUAAUAUUCCUGGCGUUCGCUCCCAAGAAGGAGAAGG
RNAcentral lists this long non-coding RNA (514 nucleotides) under Linum usitatissimum (flax). RNAcentral describes it as "long non-coding RNA (LUSI_LNC005495)". The record is from RNAcentral. Lineage: Eukaryota; Viridiplantae; Streptophyta; Magnoliopsida; Malpighiales; Linaceae.